GCGCGGGUGGCGAAAUUGGUAGACGCACCAGGUUUAGGUCCUGACGCCCGUUAAGGGUGUGGGGGUUCGAGUCCCCCCCCGCGCACCA
This 88-nucleotide transfer RNA is filed under the name Serpentinimonas raichei. RNAcentral's name for it is "tRNA-Leu (TAG) (tRNA-Leu-TAG-1-1)". It matches the Rfam family "tRNA". From Rfam's summary of the family: Transfer RNA (tRNA) molecules are approximately 80 nucleotides in length. Their secondary structure includes four short double-helical elements and three loops (D, anti-codon, and T loops). Further hydrogen bonds mediate the characteristic L-shaped molecular structure. tRNAs have two regions of fundamental functional importance: the anti-codon, which is responsible for specific mRNA codon recognition, and the 3' end, to which the tRNAs corresponding amino acid is attached (by aminoacyl-tRNA synthetases). tRNAs cope with the degeneracy of the genetic code in two manners: having more than one tRNA (with a specific anti-codon) for a particular amino acid; and 'wobble' base-pairing, i.e. permitting non-standard base-pairing at the 3rd anti-codon position. Lineage: Bacteria; Pseudomonadati; Pseudomonadota; Betaproteobacteria; Burkholderiales; Comamonadaceae. The record is from RNAcentral. RNAcentral also lists the same sequence under 4 other names.